Molecule: ribosomal RNA, 240 nt
Filed under: Triticum aestivum (bread wheat)
Lineage: Eukaryota; Viridiplantae; Streptophyta; Magnoliopsida; Poales; Poaceae
Description: partial small subunit ribosomal RNA
Source: RNAcentral
AUGAAAGAGCUAGGUCUGUGCGAGGAAGACCUAUAUGAUGUGGUCUUUGAUGAGGAUGAAGCACCAGAGGGGGCGGCAAGGUGGAUAGCUCUUGCAAAAGUACACUCUGCCAAAACGUACUCCCAAUACUGGUUCUUUCGGAACAUGAGAUCAGCUUGGGACCUUGCUCAGGAGGUGAUUUUCAAGCCACUCGAGGACAAUUUGUACACGGUGCAAUUCUCCUGCCUAGGAGAUUGGGAG